RNAcentral lists this ribosomal RNA (253 nucleotides) under uncultured bacterium. RNAcentral's name for it is "partial 16S ribosomal RNA". It matches the Rfam family "Bacterial small subunit ribosomal RNA", at positions 524 to 776 of the family's 1533-position model. The record is from RNAcentral.
UACGUAGGGGGCGAGCGUUGUCCGGAUUUACUGGGCGUAAAGAGCGUGUAGGCGGCUUUACAGGUCCGUUGUGAAAACUCGAGGCUCAACCUCGAGACGCCGGUGGAAACCGUAAAGCUAGAGUCCGGAAGAGGAGAGUGGAAUUCCUGGUGUAGCGGUGAAAUGCGCAGAUAUCAGGAAGAACACCCGUGGCGAAGGCGGCUCUCUGGGACGGUACUGACGCUGAGACGCGAAAGCGUGGGGAGCGAACAGG